AGGAAUAUUGGUCAAUGGACGAGAGUCUGAACCAGCCAAGUAGCGUGAAGGAUGACUGCCCUAUGGGUUGUAAACUUCUUUUAUACGGGAAUAAAGUGAGGCACGUGUGCCUUUUUGUAUGUACCGUAUGAAUAAGGAUCGGCUAACUCCGUGCCAGCAGCCGCGGUAAUACGGAGGAUCCGAGCGUUAUCCGGAUUUAUUGGGUUUAAAGGGAGCGUAGGCGGACGCUUAAGUCAGUUGUGAAAGUUUGCGGCUCAACCGUAAAAUUGCAGUUGAUACUGGGUGUCUUGAGUACAGUAGAGGCAGGCGGAAUUCGUGGUGUAGCGGUGAAAUGCUUAGAUAUCACGAAGAACUCCGAUUGCGAAGGCAGCUUGCUGGACUGUAACUGACGCUGAUGCUCGAAAGUGUGGGUAUCAAACAGGAUUAGAUACCCUGGUAGUCCACACAGUAAACGAUGAAUACUCGCUGUUUGCGAUAUACAGUAAGCGGCCAAGCGAAAGCAUUAAGUAUUCCACCUGGGGAGUACGCCGGCAACGGUGAAACUCAAAGGAAUUGACGGGGGCCCGCACAAGCGGAGGAACAUGUGGUUUAAUUCGAUGAUACGCGAGGAACCUUACCCGGGCUUAAAUUGCAGAUGAAUUACGGUGAAAGCCGUAAGCCGCAAGGCAUCUGUGAAGGUGCUGCAUGGUUGUCGUCAGCUCGUGCCGUGAGGUGUCGGCUUAAGUGCCAUAACGAGCGCAACCCUCGUGUCCAGUUACUAGCAGGUUAUGCUGAGGACUCUGGACAGACUGCCAUCGUAAGAUGUGAGGAAGGUGGGGAUGACGUCAAAUCAGCACGGCCCUUACGUCCGGGGCUACACACGUGUUACAAUGGGGGGUACAGCAGGCAGCUACCGGGCGACCGGAUGCCAAUCCCGAAAGCCUCUCUCAGUUCGGACUGGAGUCUGCAACCCGACUCCACGAAGCUGGAUUCGCUAGUAAUCGCGCAUCAGCCACGGCGCGGUGAAUACGUUCCCG
RNAcentral lists this ribosomal RNA (1016 nucleotides) under uncultured bacterium. Its description in RNAcentral is "bacterial SSU rRNA". It matches the Rfam family "Bacterial small subunit ribosomal RNA", at positions 357 to 1376 of the family's 1533-position model. The record is from RNAcentral.